RNAcentral lists this ribosomal RNA (814 nucleotides) under uncultured bacterium. RNAcentral's name for it is "bacterial SSU rRNA". It matches the Rfam family "Bacterial small subunit ribosomal RNA", at positions 8 to 796 of the family's 1533-position model. The record is from RNAcentral.
AGAGUUUGAUCCUGGCUCAGAACGAACGCUGGCGGCGUGGAUUAGGCAUGCAAGUCGUACGCGAAAGAGGGAGUAAUCCCUCGAGUAGAGUGGCGAACGGGUGAGUAACGCGUGAGAAACCUGCCCUAAGCAGGGGGAUAACACUCCCAACGGGGUGCUAAUACCGCAUGAGACCACGGGAUCGCAUGAUCCUGAGGUCAAAGGUGGCCUCUGCUUGCAAGCUACCGGCUUAGGAUGGUCUCGCGUCCCAUUAGCUAGUUGGCGGGGUAAUGGCCCACCAAGGCGACGAUGGGUAGCUGGUCUGAGAGGAUGGUCAGCCACACUGGGACUGAGAUACGGCCCAGACUCCUACGGGAGGCAGCAGUCGAGAGGCUUCGGCAAUGGGGGAAACCCUGACCGAGCGACGCCGCGUGAAGGAUGAAGGCCCUUGGGUUGUAAACUUCUUUUGUUCGGGAAGAAAUGCGAUCAGGUGAAUAAUCUGGUCGUUUGACGGUACCGGACGAAUAAGCUCCGGCUAACUCCGUGCCAGCAGCCGCGGUAACACGGGGGGAGCAAGCGUUGUUCGGAAUCACUGGGCGUAAAGGGCGUGUAGGCGGUCAAGUAAGUGGAAUGUGAAACGCCUCGGCUUACCCGAGGACCUGCAUCCCAAACUGCUUGGCUUGAGUAUGGGAGAGGAUGAGGGAAUUCCUGGUGUAGCGGUGAAAUGCGUAGAUAUCAGGAGGAACACCGGUGGCGAAAGCGCUCAUCUGGCCCAAUACUGACGCUGAGGCGCGAAAGCUAGGGGAGCAAACGGGAUUAGAUACCCCCGUAGUCC